GCCUGGAAUUCUGCAGAAGCAUUGCUGUAUUUUACCAGACAGGAAUACAGGAUGAAGAUCUUCCCUGCAAAGAAAUAGUCUGGAAGAUUUAGGCACUAGAGGGCUGAAGACAAGCAGGGAGGUCAUGAAAGAGAACAAGGGCCUAUACCAUCAUGGCUUAUUAUUAUCAGUCACCUCCUCAGUCUCUACUAGAACUCUGACACACUUCGAGUCUAUGGAUUUUUCAUGAAGGACGAGAAUAGUUUCAAGUCUGAUUAGAUCUAUGCUACGAUGAGACCACACCUUAUGCCUGGACCUAGAAAGGUGGCGGGAAGGGAAAAAUCGUUACACGUGUUAACCAUAACUUCCAUGAGUAAGGACAGUAAAAGUGAAAAGAGCUUUGACUUGGGAUGGGAAAAUGGAAUGGAUUUCUUUAUGUCAUUGUGGAAAACUUUCAUCACUGACAGGAUAUCAGUAUAAAUUUGUGCUGGAUGCAGUAACUAUGGGCAUCACGUGUUUGCUUCAUUUGGUUAUAUUUUGCCAGAUUCAUUUUUAACAAAUAAAAUGCUAU
Molecule: long non-coding RNA, 550 nt
Organism: Tachyglossus aculeatus (Australian echidna)
Lineage: Eukaryota; Metazoa; Chordata; Mammalia; Monotremata; Tachyglossidae
Exons: 4
Source: RefSeq, a predicted model, not a curated record